UUAUCUUGGAUGAUAAGGAGACGUUGUAGCGACGCAAAGAUUAGAAAACAACAAAAAGAUUAGAAAAAAUUUCAAAUACCACUCAUGUGGUUGCGCACUUUCUCAUUUUAGUACCCUAUGAUUUAAAGUGUAUAUAUCAUCAUUUUCAUACUUGUGAUUUUAUUUUUCUCUUUUUGUUAUCCUUUGCACUAAUAUUUUUUGUUGAAUCAGUGACAAAGGUAAAACUAAAAGGUACUAAAGUGAAUAUUUGAUAAACUAUAGGUGAGAUAUCUGAAAUUUUUUGUAUAUGAUUUAACGGAAAGUUAGCGGAGGGGUUGACAAAAAGAGAAAAAUAAAAUCAUAGGGUACUAAAUUGAUACACUUUAAAUCAUAUAAUACUGAAGUGAGAAAGUACGAAACCACAGUGGUGAUAUCUGAAGUUUACCAAAAAGAUCAAUUA
This 439-nucleotide long non-coding RNA is filed under the name Ananas comosus (pineapple). RNAcentral's name for it is "long non-coding RNA (ACOM_LNC007345)". Lineage: Eukaryota; Viridiplantae; Streptophyta; Magnoliopsida; Poales; Bromeliaceae. The record is from RNAcentral.